This 72-nucleotide transfer RNA is filed under the name Camelus bactrianus (Bactrian camel). It matches the Rfam family "tRNA". From Rfam's summary of the family: Transfer RNA (tRNA) molecules are approximately 80 nucleotides in length. Lineage: Eukaryota; Metazoa; Chordata; Mammalia; Artiodactyla; Camelidae. The record is from Rfam by way of RNAcentral. RNAcentral also lists the same sequence under 2 other names.
GAGGGUAUAGCUCAGUGAUGGAGCCCAUGCUUAUCAUGCAUGAGGUCCUGGGUUCCAUCUCCAGUACCUCCA